Molecule: non-coding RNA, 67 nt
Organism: Podarcis lilfordi (Lilford's wall lizard)
Lineage: Eukaryota; Metazoa; Chordata; Lepidosauria; Squamata; Lacertidae
Source: the annotation of a GenBank genome assembly
UUUAAGUUCUUAGUGAGGCUUGGCAUAGAAAACGAUACAGAGAAGAUUAGCAUGGCCCCUGUGCAAG